This 158-nucleotide ribosomal RNA is filed under the name Chryseolinea serpens. Lineage: Bacteria; Pseudomonadati; Bacteroidota; Cytophagia; Cytophagales; Fulvivirgaceae. The record is from RNAcentral.
UAAGGUGACUAUAGCGGCGGGGAUCACCUCUUCCCAUUCCGAACAGAGCAGUUAAGCCCGCCAGCGCUGAUGGUACUUGGAUAACACCCGGGAGAGUAAGUCGUUGCCUAUCUUUUAUUUAAAAAGCCUUGUUGAGAAAUCGACAAGGCUUUUUUGCU